AGAGUUUGAUCAUGGCUCAGAUUGAACGCUGGCGGCAGGCCUAACACAUGCAAGUCGAACGGUAACAGGAAGCAGCUUGCUGCUUUGCUGACGAGUGGCGGACGGGUGAGUAAUGUCUGGGAAACUGCCUGAUGGAGGGGGAUAACUACUGGAAACGGUAGCUAAUACCGCAUAACGUCGCAAGACCAAAGAGGGGGACCUUCGGGCCUCUUGCCAUCGGAUGUGCCCAGAUGGGAUUAGCUUGUUGGUGGGGUAACGGCUCACCAAGGCGACGAUCCCUAGCUGGUCUGAGAGGAUGACCAGCCACACUGGAACUGAGACACGGUCCAGACUCCUACGGGAGGCAGCAGUGGGGAAUAUUGCACAAUGGGCGCAAGCCUGAUGCAGCCAUGCCGCGUGUAUGAAGAAGGCCUUCGGGUUGUAAAGUACUUUCAGCGGGGAGGAAGGGAGUAAAGUUAAUACCUUUACUCAUUGACGUUACCCGCAGAAGAAGCACCGGCUAACUCCGUGCCAGCAGCCGCGGUAAUACGGAGGGUGCAAGCGUUAAUCGGAAUUACUGGGCGUAAAGCGCACGCAGGCGGUUUGUUAAGUCAGAUGUGAAAUCCCCGGGCUCAACCUGGGAACUGCAUCUGAUACUGGCAAGCUUGAGUCUCGUAGAGGGGGGUAGAAUUCCAGGUGUAGCGGUGAAAUGCGUAGAGAUCUGGAGGAAUACCGGUGGCGAAGGCGGCCCCCUGGACGAAGACUGACGCUCAGGUGCGAAAGCGUGGGGAGCAAACAGGAUUAGAUACCCUGGUAGUCCACGCCGUAAACGAUGUCGACUUGGAGGUUGUGCCCUUGAGGCGUGGCUUCCGGAGCUAACGCGUUAAGUCGACCGCCUGGGGAGUACGGCCGCAAGGUUAAAACUCAAAUGAAUUGACGGGGGCCCGCACAAGCGGUGGAGCAUGUGGUUUAAUUCGAUGCAACGCGAAGAACCUUACCUGGUCUUGACAUCCACAGAACCCUGUAGAGAUACGGGGGUGCCUUCGGGAACUGUGAGACAGGUGCUGCAUGGCUGUCGUCAGCUCGUGUUGUGAAAUGUUGGGUUAAGUCCCGCAACGAGCGCAACCCUUAUCCUUUGUUGCCAGCGGUCCGGCCGGGAACUCAAAGGAGACUGCCAGUGAUAAACUGGAGGAAGGUGGGGAUGACGUCAAGUCAUCAUGGCCCUUACGACCAGGGCUACACACGUGCUACAAUGGCGCAUACAAAGAGAAGCGACCUCGCGAGAGCAAGCGGACCUCAUAAAGUGCGUCGUAGUCCGGAUUGGAGUCUGCAACUCGACUCCAUGAAGUCGGAAUCGCUAGUAAUCGUGGAUCAGAAUGCCACGGUGAAUACGUUCCCGGGCCUUGUACACACCGCCCGUCACACCAUGGGAGUGGGUUGCAAAAGAAGUAGGUAGCUUAACCUUCGGGAGGGCGCUUACCACUUUGUGAUUCAUGACUGGGGUGAAGUCGUAACAAGGUAACCGUAGGGGAACCUGCGGUUGGAUCACCU
Molecule: ribosomal RNA, 1530 nt
Filed under: Escherichia coli
Lineage: Bacteria; Pseudomonadati; Pseudomonadota; Gammaproteobacteria; Enterobacterales; Enterobacteriaceae
Description: bacterial SSU rRNA
Rfam family: Bacterial small subunit ribosomal RNA
Source: RNAcentral